ACAAGGUCGAAGCGGUAGAGAGAAGCUUGCUUCUCUUGAGAGCGGCGGACGGGUGAGCAAUGCCUAGGAAUCUGCCUGGUAGUGGGGGAUAACGUUCGGAAACGGACGCUAAUACCGCAUACGUCCUACGGGAGAAAGCAGGGGACCUUCGGGCCUUGCGCUAUCAGAUGAGCCUAUGUCGGAUUAGCUAGUUGGUGAGGUAAUGGCUCACCAAGGCGACGAUCCGUAACUGGUCUGAGAGGAUGAUCAGUCACACUGGAACUGAGACACGGUCCAGACUCCUACAGGAGGCAGCAGUGGGGAAUAUUGGACAAUGGGCGAAAGCCUGAUCCAGCCAUGCCGCGUGUGUGAAGAAGGUCUUCGGAUUGUAAAGCACUUUAAGUUGGGAGGAAGGGUUGUAGAUUAAUACUCUGCAAUUUUGACGUUACCGACAGAAUAAGCACCGGCUAACUCUGUGCCAGCAGCCGCGGUAAUACAGAGGGUGCAAGCGUUAAUCGGAAUUACUGGGCGUAAAGCGCGCGUAGGUGGUUUGUUAAGUUGGAUGUGAAAUCCCCGGGCUCAACCUGGGAACUGCAUUCAAAACUGACUGACUAGAGUAUGGUAGAGGGUGGUGGAAUUUCCUGUGUAGCGGUGAAAUGCGUAGAUGUAGGAAGGAACACCAGUGGCGAAGGCGACCACCUGGACUAAUACUGACACUGAGGUGCGAAAGCGUGGGGAGCAAACAGGAUUAGAUACCCUGGUAGUCCACGCCGUAAACGAUGUCAACUAGCCGUUGGAAGCCUUGAGCUUUUAGUGGCGCAGCUAACGCAUUAAGUUGACCGCCUGGGGAGUACGGGCCGCAAGGUUAAAACUCAAAUGAAUUGACGGGGGUCCCGCACAAGCGGUGGAGCAUGUGGUUUAAGUUCGAAGCAUCGCGAAGAACCCUUACCACGCUCUUGACAUCCAAUGAACUUUUCUAGAGAUAGAUUGGAUGCCUUUCGGGGAACAUUGAGACAUGUGA
RNAcentral lists this ribosomal RNA (1000 nucleotides) under Pseudomonas sp. Its description in RNAcentral is "bacterial SSU rRNA". It matches the Rfam family "Bacterial small subunit ribosomal RNA", at positions 57 to 1041 of the family's 1533-position model. The record is from RNAcentral. Lineage: Bacteria; Pseudomonadati; Pseudomonadota; Gammaproteobacteria; Pseudomonadales; Pseudomonadaceae.